Molecule: ribosomal RNA, 450 nt
Filed under: uncultured bacterium
Lineage: Bacteria
Description: partial 16S ribosomal RNA
Rfam family: Bacterial small subunit ribosomal RNA
Source: RNAcentral
GUGGGGAAUUUUGGACAAUGGGCGCAAGCCUGAUCCAGCCAUUCCGCGUGCAGGAUGAAGGCCUUCGGGUUGUAAACUGCUUUUGUACGGAACGAAAAGGUUCUCUCUAAUACAGGGGGCUGAUGACGGUACCGUAAGAAUAAGCACCGGCUAACUACGUGCCAGCAGCCGCGGUAAUACGUAGGGUGCAAGCGUUAAUCGGAAUUACUGGGCGUAAAGCGUGCGCAGGCGGUUUUGUAAGACAGUGGUGAAAUCCCCGGGCUCAACCUGGGAACUGCCAUUGUGACUGCAAGGCUAGAGUGCGGCAGAGGGGGAUGGAAUUCCGCGUGUAGCAGUGAAAUGCGUAGAUAUGCGGAGGAACACCGAUGGCGAAGGCAAUCCCCUGGGCCUGCACUGACGCUCAUGCACGAAAGCGUGGGGAGCAAACAGGAUUAGAAACCCGAGUAGUCC